AAAGCCGGUUUGUGGGUACAGGGCCUCCAGGAGCGGCGCGAUCAGGGCGCGGGAGGGGCGCUGGCGGGGGCCAGUCUGCAGGAGCGGCUCCCAGGGCCCGGGCCGCGAGUGGAGGGCCGACGGCCACUCGGAUGGAGGUCUUCAGGAGUAAAUUAUAUCCGAUGAAGACCCUUCCCGCGUGUGUAGACAGCCCUUUGAAGUUUACGGAGGCUUGAGAUAUCCAUGCUGUCCCCGAUUUUUCUUUCAGUUUCUCUAAUGCUAAGUUGAGUCCAGUCUCAGGGCCUUCCCAUUUGAGGUUCCGGGGCCUGGCACUCUGCCCCGAGACCGUCCUUUUCCUGUGUCUGUUUCCAGCUUUCCAUGCAGGGUGGCAUCUGUGAGUCUUGCCUGACUGCCCAGCACAUUGAAUCAUUGAGCAAAUAUUUACUGAGUGCCUACUAUGUGCCAGGUACAGGUAGGGGAAUCACACCGGCCUUCCAGUCCUGCUCUAUUUUAAUCGCAGCAUUUAUCACUUUAUGCAAUUAUUUUGUUCAUUUUGCUGUUUGCAGAUUAUUGUCUGCCAUCCCCACUAGAAUUUAAAAGCCCUGAGAGUGGGGGUCUCGCCUGCCUUGUCCUCUGCUGUGUGCCCAGCCCCAGGGACUGGCCUGGCACUUGGACGGGAAACUGAGGCUCUGGUCCCGGCCACACAGAAGCCACAGCAAUAAGGAAUGCCAGAGCCAGAGGGUUCUUUCUUCUAGGUUCUAUCAGUGAAAUGGAUAUAAGACAAAUUAACAGGAGAAAAACAAAUUUAAUUUCGUAUGUCCGGGAGCCCCAUAAGGAUAUGAAGACUCACAAGGCAGCCAGGAUGGCUGGUCAUGGCUGCGAGUAUCAAAUGCUGACCAAGAUAGUGGCCAAAAUCCUAAUGACACUGAUGAUGGAUGGAGCAUAAAUCCAGAGGUCAGUUGUUCCAGAAUUGUCCCAAUAGCUCAAUGAUGUCAGCAAGGACCUAAGCUCUUUCUGUCUUUCAUUAUCCUCAGCACAUUGGCUGUUGUCCUUCACUGUGUCACCCAGUGGUCCAAAGAUGGCUCCCUCAGCUGCAAGCAUCCUUCAGCAGUUACGUUCAAAAGCAGAAAAGAAAAGAGAAAAAGAGAGCUCUCUUUGUGAGUUCUUCCUCCUGGGUUUCUCUCCAAGGGUCACAGUGGAAACGAUUUCCCAGAAACCCUCUUGCUGGGAUCACAUGUCUGGAUCACAUGACCACCCCUGGUUGCAAAGGAGUCUGUGAAAGCAAGGAUCUGGGACAGGGCACUGGCCCAGACCCCCGUGGGUGGGGGCAGGCCAGUUGUAACAUUUGCGGAGCUCAGGGCAAGAACACAUGAUGAUAAAUAAAACAUGUCCUAACCUGCUAACCUGACAGAUACACCUUCAAAA
This is a non-coding RNA of Equus caballus (horse), 1404 nucleotides long. NCBI's taxonomy places the organism in Eukaryota, Metazoa, Chordata, Mammalia, Perissodactyla, Equidae. The record is from RefSeq and is a predicted model, not a curated record.